This 484-nucleotide ribosomal RNA is filed under the name uncultured bacterium. RNAcentral describes it as "partial 16S ribosomal RNA". It matches the Rfam family "Bacterial small subunit ribosomal RNA", at positions 30 to 507 of the family's 1533-position model. The record is from RNAcentral.
AUUGAGCGCUGGCGGAAUGCUUUACACAUGCAAGUCGAGCGGCAGCACGGGGGCAACCCUGGUGGCGAGCGGCGAACGGGUGAGUAAUACAUCGGAACAUGCCCAGUCGUGGGGGAUAACACUUCGAAAGAAGUGCUAAUACCGCAUACGUCCUGAGGGGGAAAGCGGGGGAUCGCAAGACCUCGCGCGAUUGGAGUGGCCGAUGUCAGAUUAGCUAGUUGGUGGGGUAAAGGCCUACCAAGGCAACGAUCUGUAGCUGGUCUGAGAGGAUGAUCAGCCACACUGGGACUGAGACACGGCCCAGACUCCUACGGGAGGCAGCAGUGGGGAAUUUUGGACAAUGGGGGCAACCCUGAUCCAGCCAUUCCGCGUGAGUGAAGAAGGCCUUCGGGUUGUAAAGCUCUUUCGGCAGGAACGAAACGGUGAGCUCUAACAUAGCUUGCUAAUGACGGUACCUGAAGAAGAAGCACCGGCUAACUACGUG